AACGAACGCUGGCGGCAUGCCUAACACAUGCAAGUCGAACGGCACCAUCGUGUCUAGUUGCGCAUGCGUGCGUAACGCGUGGGAAGCUGCCCUUAGGUUCGGAAUAACUCUCUGAAGGGGGUGCUAAUGCCGGAUAAUGUCUUCUGACAAAAGAUUUAUCGCCUUUGGAUGGGCCCGCGUUGUUUUAGCUAGUUGCUAGUGUAAAAGCCUACCAAGGCUACGAUCCAUAGCUGGUCUGAGAGACUGAGCAGCGACACUGGGACUAGGACCCGGCCCAGACUCCUACGCGAGGCAGCAGUGGCGAAUACAGCAAAACCGGCUGAGGCCUGAUCCAGCUAUGCCGCGUGAGUCAUGAUGGUCUUAGAGAUGUAAAGCUCGUUUACCCGGGACGAUAAUGACGGUACCGGGAGAAUAAGCACCGGCUAACUUCGUG
RNAcentral lists this ribosomal RNA (433 nucleotides) under uncultured bacterium. Its description in RNAcentral is "partial 16S ribosomal RNA". It matches the Rfam family "Bacterial small subunit ribosomal RNA", at positions 29 to 507 of the family's 1533-position model. The record is from RNAcentral.